AUGUUAGCACUUUCUAAUGAUCUCAUUAAACCUCUCCCAUGCUUCAAACACAGUUUCAGACUCUUUCUGGAAGAAAUUAUGGAUUUCUCUUCUAAACUU
Molecule: small nucleolar RNA, 99 nt
Filed under: Nicotiana sylvestris (wood tobacco)
Lineage: Eukaryota; Viridiplantae; Streptophyta; Magnoliopsida; Solanales; Solanaceae
Also listed under: 1 other name
Description: Plant small nucleolar RNA R71
Rfam family: Plant small nucleolar RNA R71
About the family: R71 is a member of the C/D box family of snoRNAs containing the C (UGAUGA) and D (CUGA) box motifs. Multiple nearly identical copies of this snoRNA have been identified in Arabidopsis, and it is thought to function as a 2'-O-ribose methylation guide for 18S ribosomal RNA.
Source: Rfam by way of RNAcentral